Non-coding RNA from Sulfitobacter geojensis, 115 nucleotides. The record is from Rfam. NCBI's taxonomy places the organism in Bacteria, Pseudomonadati, Pseudomonadota, Alphaproteobacteria, Rhodobacterales, Roseobacteraceae.
UUUGGUGAUCAUAGCGAGAGCAAAACACCUGGUUCCAUCCCGAACCCAGCCGUUAAGUGCCUUAGCGCCGAUGGUACUGCGUCUUAAGGCGUGGGAGAGUAGGUCAUCGCCAAAC